UACGUAGGGGGCAAGCGUUGUCCGGAUUUACUGGGCGUAAAGAGCGUGUAGGCGGCCACGCAGGUCCGUUGUGAAAACUGAAGGCUCGACCUCCAGACGUCGACGGAAACCGUAUGGCCAGAGUCCGGAAGAGGAGAGUGGAAUUCCUGGUGUAGCGGUGAAAUGCGCAGAUAUCAGGAAGAACACCAAUGGCGAAGGCAGCUCUCUGGGACGGUACUGACGCUGAGACGCGAAAGCGUGGGGAGCGAACAGG
This 253-nucleotide ribosomal RNA is filed under the name uncultured bacterium. RNAcentral's name for it is "partial 16S ribosomal RNA". It matches the Rfam family "Bacterial small subunit ribosomal RNA", at positions 524 to 776 of the family's 1533-position model. The record is from RNAcentral.